Molecule: ribosomal RNA, 464 nt
Filed under: uncultured bacterium
Lineage: Bacteria
Description: partial 16S ribosomal RNA
Rfam family: Bacterial small subunit ribosomal RNA
Source: RNAcentral
ACGAACGCUGGCGGCGUGCUUAACACAUGCAAGUCGAACGGAAAGGCCCUGCUUGCAGGGUCCUCGAGUGGCGAACGGGUGAGUAACACGUGGGUGAUCUGCCCUGCACUUCGGGAUAAGCUUGGGAAACUGGGUCUAAUACCGGAUAGGACCGCACUUUAGUGUGUGUGGUGGAAAGUUUUUUCGGUGUAGGAUGAGCUCGCGGCCUAUCAGCUUGUUGGUGGGGUAAUGGCCUACCAAGGCGGCGACGGGUAGCCGGCCUGAGAGGGUGUACGGCCACAUUGGGACUGAGAUACGGCCCAGACUCCUACGGGAGGCAGCAGUGGGGAAUAUUGCACAAUGGGCGCAAGCCUGAUGCAGCGACGCCGCGUGGGGGAUGAAGGCCUUCGGGUUGUAAACUCCUUUCGCUAGGGACGAAGCUUUUUGUGACGGUACCUAGAUAAGAAGCACCGGCUAACUACGUG